RNAcentral lists this ribosomal RNA (392 nucleotides) under uncultured Caulobacter sp. RNAcentral's name for it is "bacterial SSU rRNA". It matches the Rfam family "Bacterial small subunit ribosomal RNA", at positions 370 to 779 of the family's 1533-position model. The record is from RNAcentral. Lineage: Bacteria; Pseudomonadati; Pseudomonadota; Alphaproteobacteria; Caulobacterales; Caulobacteraceae.
AAUGGGCGCAAGCCUGAUGCAGCCAUGCCGCGUGAAUGAUGAAGGCCUUAGGGUUGUAAAAUUCUUUCGCCAGGGAUGAUAAUGACAGUACCUGGUAAAGAAGCCCCGGCUAACUUCGUGCCAGCAGCCGCGGUAAUACGAAGGGGGCUAGCGUUGUUCGGAAUUACUGGGCGUAAAGCGCACGUAGGCGGACUUUUAAGUCAGAUGUGAAAUCCCGAGGCUCAACCUCGGAACUGCAUUUGAAACUGGGAGUCUAGAGAUCAGGAGAGGUUAGCGGAAUACCGAGUGUAGAGGUGAAAUUCGUAGAUAUUCGGUGGAACACCAGUGGCGAAGGCGGCUAACUGGACUGAUACUGACGCUGAGGUGCGAAAGUGUGGGGAGCAAACAGGAUU